UGGGGAAUUUUGGACAAUGGGCGAAAGCCUGAUCCAGCAAUGCCGCGUGUGUGAAGAAGGCCUUCGGGUUGUAAAGCACUUUUGUCCGGAAAGAAAUCCUUGGCUCUAAUACAGUCGGGGGAUGACGGUACCGGAAGAAUAAGCACCGGCUAACUACGUGCCAGCAGCCGCGGUAAUACGUAGGGUGCAAGCGUUAAUCGGAAUUACUGGGCGUAAAGCGUGCGCAGGCGGUUUGCUAAGACCGGUGUGAAAUCCCCGGGCUCAACCUGGGAACUGCAUUGGUGACUGGCAGGCUAGAGUAUGGCAGAGGGGGGUAGAAUUCCACGUGUAGCAGUGAAAUGCGUAGAGAUGUGGAGGAAUACCGAUGGCGAAGGCAGCCCCCUGGGCCAAUACUGACGCUCAUGCACGAAAGCGUGGGGAGCAAAACAGGAUUAGAUACCCUGGUAGUCCACGCCCUAAACGAUGUCAACUAGUUGUUGGGGAUUCAUUUCCUUAGUAACGUAGCUAACGCGUGAAGUUGACCGCCUGGGGAGUACGGUCGC
Molecule: ribosomal RNA, 542 nt
Filed under: uncultured bacterium
Lineage: Bacteria
Description: partial 16S ribosomal RNA
Rfam family: Bacterial small subunit ribosomal RNA
Source: RNAcentral